CGUGGAUAAGACAUGCAAGUCGAACGGGACACAAGAUGUAGCAAUACAGAUUGUGUUUAGUGGCGAACGGGUGCGUAACACGUGGGCAAUCUGCCGGAAAGUGGGGGAUAACUCGUCGAAAGGCGAACUAAUACCGCAUGUGGCCAGGGAGGACAUCCUUCCGAAGCUAAAGCUGGGGCAACCUAGCGCUUUCUGAUGAGCCCGCGGCCUAUCAGCUAGUUGGUGAGGUAACGGCUCACCAAGGCUAUGACGGGUAGCUGGUCUGAGAGGACGACCAGCCACACUGGAACUGAGAUACGGUCCAGACACCUACGGGUGGCAGCAGUCGAGAAUUUUUCUCAAUGGGGGAAACCCUGAAGGAGCGACGCCGCGUGGAGGAUGAAGGUUUUCGGAUUGUAAACUCCUGUCAUUGGGGAACAAUUCCACGGGUAGUAACUGACCUGUGGUUGAUAGUACCCGAAGAGGAAGGGACGGCUAACUCUGUGCCAGCAGCCGCGGUAAUACAGAGGUCCCAAGCGUUGUUCGGAUUCAUUGGGCGUAAAGGGUGCGUAGGCGGCGAGGUAAGUUGGAUGUGAAAUCCCGGGGCUCAACCCCGGAACUGCAUCAAUACUGCUUGCUAGAGUACUGGAGAGGAGAUGG
This 639-nucleotide ribosomal RNA is filed under the name uncultured bacterium. Its description in RNAcentral is "bacterial SSU rRNA". It matches the Rfam family "Bacterial small subunit ribosomal RNA", at positions 43 to 663 of the family's 1533-position model. The record is from RNAcentral.